GGGUCAGUAGGUUGGUCGUGCCACCGGUACGUACUGGUCUCACUGAUUCCUCCUUCCUGAAGAGCCAUAAUGCCAUUAAUUUGGUGUUGCGGGGAAACAGGACUGUUACUUUGAAAAAAUUAGAGUGUUUAAAGCAAGCUAACGCUUGAAUACAUUAGCAUGGAAUAAUGAAAUAGGACGAUCGAUCCUAUUUUGUUGGUUUCUAGGAUUGACGUA
This 216-nucleotide ribosomal RNA is filed under the name Glomeromycotina sp. RNAcentral describes it as "partial small subunit ribosomal RNA". The stretch from base 40 to 216 matches the Rfam family "Eukaryotic small subunit ribosomal RNA", at positions 686 to 864 of the family's 1831-position model. Lineage: Eukaryota; Fungi; Glomeromycota. The record is from RNAcentral.